GUCUAUUUCCAGGGGUUUCCUGUCUAUUUCCUGUCUAUUUCCAGGGGGUUGCUACCUUUCUGCUUGCGGGAAAUAGACAGGAAACUCCCUGGAAAUAGGCA
Non-coding RNA from Podarcis lilfordi (Lilford's wall lizard), 101 nucleotides. The record is from the annotation of a GenBank genome assembly. Lineage: Eukaryota; Metazoa; Chordata; Lepidosauria; Squamata; Lacertidae.